This 4018-nucleotide long non-coding RNA is filed under the name Mytilus galloprovincialis (Mediterranean mussel). Lineage: Eukaryota; Metazoa; Mollusca; Bivalvia; Mytilida; Mytilidae. The record is from RNAcentral.
ACGUGAAUAAAAAUGUAUGACGUCACACUUUACUUUGUUGUUGUUUUGAUCUAGCAAUGGCUUCCUGAUAUUCUUUAAAAUACAUCUUUUAUUGCAUAAAGGUAAACGCAUUAUGUUAACUUGAUCAUUUAUUCGAAUCUUCUGAUGUCUGAUAAUAAAUAUUUUGCAUUGCAAAUUGGUUGUCAAAUUGUAAAACAAAAGUAUUAGAACAGCUGAUUCACCUGAAGAUGUCAGUGCCAGUGCCAGUGGCACCCACACCAAUUUGUUGAAGUUUGUGAUUUAUAAGAACAUUAUGCCAGUUAAAUCAGGUUGGAAACAAACCGUUUAUCUGACGAGAUAAUCCUUCUGUCAUGUCUGUAGAGGGAUAAAAUUAUCCUUCUAUAGAGGGAUAUUUUUCUUUAGACUGGAUUAAAAGCAAAACAACAGGGCAAAAUGGCAUUUUCUACUUAUUAUGGCAGUAUGGUGGACCAAUUGAUGUACUUUAUUUAAUAUGCACAUGACCAGUUUACUGCUAAGCUGACUAAAUAUACAAUCUAUUGAUCAUCAUGAUAAGUACUUGCUAAUGCUCAUACAUACAUACUUAAUCAUGAAGAAAGAGAUUAUCAUUCUCUUACAUGUACAUAUAUAUUUAACAUGAAAUUUAAAGGUCAAUUGUCCCUUUUGUUGUUGAUCAAGUGUUCUGAGAUAGGUAACGUAUACAAUAGAUGCAAAGUUCUGUCACUUUAGCAGAAAACUGGGAAUCCAAUUUUUAGUAAAGUGCAGUAAUUGAUGCAUAUAUUAAAUGCUAUAGAUUAUAGCAAAUAUAACUAGAAAAUGUCAUUUUGACAUUUUCCUCUUUUUAAUCCAGUCUAAACAUAAAUAUCCAUCUAUAGAAGGUUUCAGUGGCGGAUCCAGAAAUUUUCAUAAGUGGGGGUCCACUGAAUCUGGGUCCGUUCGCCCUGAUUCACAUUUGCCCUAGUACCUGUUCGCCCUGAUACCUGUUGGCCCAGGGUCCAUUCACCCUGAUUUUAUUUUUUUCCAAUUGUUGUUGGUUCGCAUUAUUUUAAGUAUUUGAACAAAAUAUGUUAAAGUUUGUGAAAAAAUUGACAGAAUAUUUAUAUUGCUGCAAUCAAUUUAUCAUUUUCCCUUUGAUUUGCAGAGUAGUAUACUGGAAUACAAUGUAUUUAUCUUUAUUGAUAUUUGUUAACAAAAUAAUUGUAUUCAGUCAAUCACGAAUGUAUGCAGUAUAACUGAGACUAGUCUCAGAACAUAAUAAUAAAUGAACUUGUAAAUCCGUUUCAUGAGUUCGUACAAUGUACAUCAUUGUUUUUAUUAAUUUCAAGCUAAAUAUUUUAUCAAAACAAAACGUUUGUUUUUAUUAUUAAUCCAUCAAAAGACAACAGUUAGCCACUAGUCCGAUGCCCCAGACUAGUAAAAUUUCAUUUGGACUUGUAAGUUUUUGUAAAACUUUGUUUGGACCAAUAAGAAAAAUGUCUGAAUAUUGGUCUUUGGACUAGUAGUUAAAAAAGUUUUUGGUGCAGACUGAGACAAGUAUCACAAUAAUCAGUGAUCCAAAUUAUUUAGUCAUUGAACAAUUAAUGAUCUUAAACAAGCCAUAAACUUUUAGCUAUUUCUAUAAAUUUCAAGAAUAUGAACCAUAGAAAUAUCUGAAUAAGUUUAUUCAACUUCAAUACCCUGAAUAUUAAUAUUUUUUUAGUAGGGCGAACGAACUCAGGGCGAAUGGACCCAGGGGCGAAUAUGUAUUAGGGCGAACAGACCCGAUACCGGGCCCACUGGCUGCCUAAGAGGGGGCCCCAUCUCGUCACACUUCAGUGAUUCCCUAUAUAAGCAACCAAAUUUUUUUUUCAAAAGGGGGGCCAGGGCCCCCUGCUGCCCCUAAAUCCGCCUCUGCGUUUAUCCCUUUAUACAAAUAUAAACACCAAAUAGAAGAUUUGUUGCUCAACAAAUGGAUUUUGGUACAGCUUUGAAGCUGUCUUUUAAAAAAAACACUCCUUUUCAUAUACUUUAAAUUCACAGCAGAUAUUGUGCGCAAUGAUAAAAACAUCACAAUAAUUUCUAAAUUUACACAGGGUUCUCGCUAAGGAUUUUUUAAGGCGAGUCCAGGGACUCAUCAUUUUUGGCCAUGGUGAGUCCAACAGCAAGAAGAAGAUAUUAUAUUUGCAAUAAAAUGUAAUAAUUUAGUCUCCAUGGCCUAACAGAGCAAUGAAAUGACAUUAAAUAAAGAUUGCUUUUAAACUUUUGCUAUAAAAUGAUGAUCAUUUAUGUUUAACUGUGUUCAGUUUAUACAAAAUAUUUUAAGCUUAGUGCAUCUGUGGACUCACCAGUUUUGAAAAUGGUGAGUCCAGACAGAUUUUGAAGAGUCCAGGACUCAUGGACUCGCCUUAGCGAGAACCCUGUUACAGUAUUGAAUAAUUUUGAAACCCAUAUCUUUAGUUCUAUACAUAUAUUUCGCAGCGAAACAAUAACCCAUUCAUAUAUUUAUCAGCUCAAACAGUACCUAUAAGCAAAAGGUUCAAUAUGGGACUUUUUUUUUUUACUAUACUCAAGUUGGUAAAGAUUAUUAAUUGUGACAGUGUAAUAAAAUUUGGUCCAUAACAAAACUUGUGUCAAUAAUUUUCAGCUAAUGUUGAAAUUUUAACAUUAUAUAGGUAAAUUUCACCAGGUUUUUUUUUACCGUUUGUUCCCAACCUGUUCAUUAAUAUUGGCACAUCUUAUUUCCAUUAUCCAGGCGGAGGGUUCCAGGUUUGGACCCCCUUUUAUUUUAACCAUCAAUGCAUUUAUGGGAACAUAUAUUUAAAAUCAUUUCAACUCUAGCAACAUCUAUCUGUAUUCUCUAUAGAUGUAUGUCUCUUCGGUUACCUCUUUACCUUGAUAUUCCAAAAUUGACUUGCAUGAGUAUCACUGUAACACACUAUCUGAUUAAAAUACAGAUCAUGGGUACACACUUUGCUUGGAAGUCUUUAAAAGAAGAGUUGGACACAGAGUCUGUAUUUUAGUUUUUUGUAUGGCUGAACAACAGCUUAUUUGCAUGACAUGAUUUCUUGUACACUAUUAGCAUGAUUAGUGAAAGGUUAUAAUGUUUAUGCCCCACCUACAAUAGUAGAGGAACAUUAUGUUUUCUGGUCUGUGGGUCCAUUAAUCCGUUCUUUCGUCUGUCCGUCAGUCCAUCUGUCCCGCUGUCCCGCUUCAGGUUAAAGUUGUUGGUCAAGGUAGUUUUUGAUGAAGUUGAAGCCCAAUUGACUUGAAACUGAGUGUACAUGUUCCCUUUGAUAUGAUCUUUCUAAUUUGAAUGCAAAAUAAGAUUUUAACCCCAAUUUCACAGUCCACUGAACAUAGAAAAUAAUAGUGUGAGUUCCAAUCAACUUGAAACUUGUUCCCAAUGAUAUGAUCUUUCAAAUAUAAUUGCCAAAUUAGAUUUUUGGCACCAAUUUCACGGUCCACUGAACAUAGAAAAUGAUAGUGUGAGUGGGACGUCUGUGAACUAUGGACACAUUCUUGUUCAGUUGUCAGUCUAAAAUGGUUACUUACUAAACAAAUUAUGAACUACUGGUUGUAGAAAUUAAUAUUAAAUCAUAACUUUUUAGGAUGUGGAGAAAUAUUUGUAGAAUACCAUUUUUAAAGUACAAAAAAAAGAAGUAAAUGAAUAGUUUUAAAAGCCUACAUCUUGAUGUUUUUUUUUUGUCUUUUAGUUGACCAGACUUACAAUGGGAGGAGCUGUGAGCCGUGGAGAGGAUAAUGAUGAAUUGAUUGACAACUUGGUAGAAGCAGAUUAUAUAAAGACACCAUUAGUGGAGAGAGUGUUCCGUGCAGUAGAUAGAGCACACUAUUACACUGAAGAUCACAAAGGCAGUGCUUACAAAGACUUGGCAUGGAAGUUUGGCCAUUUACAUAUGUCUGCUCCGUGUAUCUAUUCAGAAGUGAUGGAGUCAUUGUCAUUAGAACCAGGGCUAUCUUUUCUCAAUCUUGGAAGUGGGACUGGUUAAGAGUUUUUAAAUUUCACUGGCAGUAUGUUGACUGA